This 316-nucleotide ribosomal RNA is filed under the name uncultured soil bacterium. RNAcentral's name for it is "bacterial SSU rRNA". It matches the Rfam family "Bacterial small subunit ribosomal RNA", at positions 26 to 345 of the family's 1533-position model. The record is from RNAcentral.
AGAUUGAACGCUGGCGGCAUGCCUUACACAUGCAAGUCGAACGGCAGCACGGGAGCAAUCCUGGUGGCGAGUGGCGAACGGGUGAGUAAUAUAUCGGAACGUGCCCAGUCGUGGGGGAUAACGCAGCGAAAGCUGUGCUAAUACCGCAUACGAUCUAUGGAUGAAAGCGGGGGAUCGCAAGACCUCGCGCGAUUGGAGCGGCCGAUAUCAGAUUAGGUAGUUGGUGGGGUAAAGGCCACCAAGCCGACGAUCUGUAGCUGGUCUGAGAGGACGACCAGCCACACUGGAACUGAGACACGGUCCAGACUCCUACGGG